Long non-coding RNA from Gopherus flavomarginatus (Mexican gopher tortoise), 3034 nucleotides. RefSeq lists it as uncharacterized. Lineage: Eukaryota; Metazoa; Chordata; Testudines; Testudinidae. The transcript is spliced from 2 exons. The record is from RefSeq and is a predicted model, not a curated record.
GAGGAAGGAAAUGUCUGCAAUGGAGCUGAUUCAGGGGCCGGUGACUUUCGAAGAGGUGGCUGUGUAUUUCACCAGGGAAGAGGGGGCUCUGCUGGACCCCACUCAGAGAGCCCUCUACAGGGAUGUCAUGCAGGAGAGCUAUGAGACGGUGGUCUUGCUGGAUAAGGAGUCCUGUCCCCUGGGUUGUUAGAAGCUGUGGGGUCUCUGAAGAACCUGAGUUGUAAUAACUUUAUACCUUUAUUCAUAAUAAAAGUUUUGACAGGUUUCCUUGCCCCCUCCCUUUUUUGCCUUAUCCCCCAUAUACUGGUAUAACUUUUGGACAUGUGUCUUUUUGAUGAAUGAACUGGAGUUAAAACCAUGGACUGUUCUUGUGACAAGUAUCCCAGAGAUUCCACUGACCUCCCUUGUUUUCUUCGCCUGGAGUAGGGUUUUCAGUUUCCAAUCCUGAUGUGAUCUCGCAGCUGGAACGAGGGGAAGAGCCAUGGGUUCUGGACCUCCAGGGCUCUGAGAAAAAGUGCUCCUGAGAGCUGCCUGCAAAGGUGAGGAAUUGGUUAAGCCAAGUCAAAAGCUGUCCAUGAAUACAGAAAACAUUUGGGAUGCCCUACAAAGACCUUGUGAGCUCUCCAAGUUCAAGAUUGUUCCCUGCAGAUGUGGAAUCAUUAGGCAGAUGUCACUCAUGGCUCCCCUCUACCCUGACUAACAACUGGCAGCAGGUCCCUCCCCAAUCUCGCUUUCCCCUGAGAAUUCUGGUGCAAUGAGGACCCAGAACUGAUCCCUUCUUCUCUGGGGAAAGGUUUGGGGAUAAUCAGCUCCUGAUAGGUUUGAUCUCUCCCGCACAUAUUUUGGUUUGUUCAUCCCUUUCCCCAUUCCCCACUCUUAGAUUUCCUUUCUGUCCAGUGCAGGGAGCGACCUGUGUCUGGAUUCUCUCUGUCUCCCAUCAGGGGUUGGGAUGGUGAGUGAGAAUGAGGAGAAACCCCAGCAGGAAGCUACUGAGCAAGUAUUACCCCAUGGGAUGUUAUCAGGAAGAUCCAAAGGGAAUGUUUCCAGGAGUUGUGCACUCCCAGAAAAAGCAAAAGACUGUGAGAGUCAGCACAGGCCAGAGGAAAACUUCAGUAGCCACUCAGACAUUCUUACACGCAAGAGAAUCAACUUGGAAGAGACACACUACACAUGCCAUGAGUGUGGGGAACACCUCAGUCAGCGCUCAAACCUUAUCAGACAUAAGAGAAUCCACAUGAGUGAGAAACCUUAUGGGUGCCAUGAGUGCAGGAAAAGCUUUAGUCUGCACUCAUCCGUUAUCAGACAUAGGUGAAUCCACACUGGAGAGAACCCUGCAUGUGCUCUGUGUGUGGGAAACGCUUCAAUCAGACCUCAAGCCUUAUCAGACAUCAGCGAAUGCACACUGGUGAGAAACCUGAUGGAUGCUCUGAGUUUGGGAGAUGCUUCAAUCAGAGCUCAAGCCUUAUUAAACAUCAGAAAAACCACACAGAAGAGACACCUUACACAUGCACUGAGUGUGGGAAAAGGUUCAAUAGGUGCUUAAACCUUAUCAGACAUUGGGAAAUCCACACAGGUGAGACACCCUACCCAUUCCCUGAGUGCGGGAAAAGCUUCAGUCAGCACUCAGACCUUAUCAGACAUCAGAGAAUCCACACAAGAGAAACGCCCUACGUAUCAGUCCUGCACAACUCAUAAAGCGGCAAGGUCCACAUUGCUCCAAAGAAAACAGUUGAUGGCUGAAACCGCCCAGCCUCGCGGAAACACGCUGCCCAAUGCCUCUCAGCCCCGCGGAAACACUCCCCCCCCAAGCACUACCCAGCCCCACGGAAACAAACCCUCCUUCCCUAGCGCCAACCUGCUGAAACAGCUGUAGGCUGAAAAGGAAGGUUGGGUGUGUGUGUGUGAUACUUUAUUAAGAACAAUUAAAACAAACAAUUUUUAAAAUUAUUUUAAUUUUUUUAUGAAUUAUGUAAAAAUGAAAAACAUGUGUUUCCUUGAAAGAAAACAUUUGUGCUUUUCAUAAUUACCUUGCAAAUUUAAUGAGAGAUAGUACAUCUCUUUUCAGCAACAAGCUUGUCGUAUUCGGGGGUCAUAUUUGAAGUGGAUAUUUUCGUAAUCUUUUCCAAAUGGUCUUCAGUCAGAGAAGAACGUGGCUUGUUUUUAUUCAUGUUCAUGAUGGAAAAUGUUCACAUAGGUAAGCACUUCCAAAAAUGCUGAAUGUUUUCAGUGCAACUUCAAUAAGAUUCUUGUAUUUUUUAUUGUCCAGACUUUUGUAGAAGUCUCGCAGGCUGCUUUCUCUGUGCUUAUUUCAAUAAACUGCCGAACAUUUAAAUACAGUAACCUCCAACUGCAAAUCUAGUGGCACUUCCUCUGGAUCCACAGAAAAGGGAUCUUCAAUCAUCUUCAACUGGAUGUCUUCUUUAGACAAAGUAAGUCUUCUGUCAAAUUCUUCGAUCAAAAGUUUAAUGUGCUUUGCAUAUUUUUCUCCUAAUUCGGCAGGUUUGUGCUGAGGGGUACACUGUACACAAGUAACACAUUUCACCUUUUGACAGUUGACUUCUGAAAAGUUUCAAUUUCAUUUUGAAAGCUUUCACUGCAGCACGCAUUUGAAAUAUAAGUUGAUUUUUUCCUUGAAGAUGGAUGUUGAGAUCAUUCAAGUGUGCUGUAAUGUCACAAAAGAAAAAGAGAUCUUGAUUCCAGGACUCAUUUUCAAGCUCUGGGAAUUGUACUGGCUCAUUUUCUAGGAAUUUUGCUACCUCCUCUUUCAAAGCAAUGAAACGGUGGAGCACUUUUCCUAGACUCAGCCACCUCACUUCUGUAUGAUAGAUCAAGUCGCUGCACUCAGUGUCUACCCCUUCAAGAAAGGCUCUACAUGUCCUAUGUUUUUAGUCCUCUAGAACGGAUGCAGUUUAACAUGGAAACUACCACUGACAUUACUUGCUCAGAUUUUAAGACUUUGCUACACAAUACCUGUUGAUGUAAAUGCAAUGAUGUUUGGUUAUUUCUCUCCCAAUAAAUUCUUCAAGAAUAUCAA